CCACCGAGGCCGUGUCUUAUCUAAUGAUCUGCGCGUCCCGUGUCCAAAGCAGGUGCUGCGCUGGGGGUCACCCUAGGUUCAGCUUUCCCUUUGCCUUAGGGGCUCACUCUCUCUGGUAUAUUUGAGAAACAGCGGGGUUGUCUCCUGUCCCCUUCUGAAUGAAGGCCACCUCCCCUCCGAACUGGGGGCGGCUCCUCCACUGAACGCCCUGCCCCCUGCGGCAGGCCUCUGGAGCUGAGAGCGGAGCUUGUCUGCUCCCCAGCGCCCCGGCCCCGCCCUCUGUAACCCCGCCCCCAAUCAGGCUGAGGCUGAUUCACCCUUUCCAGAUCCGCAGGCCUAGAGGCCAUGAAGGAAGCCGCAACCUGUGAGGAAAAAGACUUUAAAAGUAAGAAAUUUGAAGCACAGACAAGUUAAGUUGCUUGCCCAAGAUCGCACAGCGAAUAAAUAGCAGUGUCAGAAUUCGAAGUUAAUUUGACUCCAGAGUCCGUGCUCUUAAGCACUUUGCCUCAGUGAAUUGAAGGAGGCCCGUGUUUCCAUUGCUGCUUUUGGAGCUGGCCCAGAGGCUGUUUGCUAUUGUUGAAGUAAUCCUUGAGGACAGGGACAUCCAACCACUGAAGACAGAGAAGUUCUAGAGAAGGCCUGAGUUCUCCCAGUGUCAGGAAACCAACUUACAACUCUGCAAAUGCCAUGGGGAAGUGAUAGGGAUGCCUGUGAGAUUCUUGAAGGCAGAGACGGUGGUUUACUAAUACCUGCCAAGCCUGCAAUGGAAUAAGUAGGGGCUUGGGAAUUAAAAAGAUUUGAAUUUAAAUCCUGGCUCUUGAACUUUCUGUGUCAUCAUGGGAAGGCUGAAGAACCAAGUGAAGAAACUCAACAGGAACCAGGACGAGGACUAUCAGAGUACCCUGGAAAACAUGAUGUUCUUCCUUUCCAUCAGUUCACACAGGACUCAAAAUCCUAGGACAGAGUCCUGUUGAGUGAAUCAGCACAGGGAGAAGGGAUGGGAUCUGGCAGAAUGAGUUUCCAGAUGGAUUUACCAUUGUAUUGCUCAAAACCCAGGACAGUGCCUGGUUCAGCAUAUGGUGGGUGCUCAAAAAGUAAUUUUUAAUGCACAUUUGUCUUCUAGCACAUGACAGGCACACAAGAAACCUACACAGGAGUGUUAGUUGUCUUCCUUUCCCUUUUGUACCUCUUAGCUAUGUUCAAGUAUACAAUAUACUGUUGUUAACUAUAGUCAUCAUGCUGUACAUUACAUCCCCAGGACUUACUUAUCUUUUCACAGAAGGGAUUAGCAUUUAAAUUGAUGGACUAAGAAAAGCAACUGACCGUCUCCAAUGUGGGUGGGCAUCAUCCAAUCCAUUCAGGGAUUGAAUAGAACAAAAAGGCAGAGGAAGGUUGAAAUUCUCUCUGCCUGACUGAAUGAGCUGGGACAUCAGUCUUCUGCCCUCUUAGCUUUUGGUUCUCAGGCCUUCAGACUUGGACUGGUAGCUACACCAUAGGCUCUCUGGCUGUUAAAACUUUCAAACUACACCAGUGGCUUUCCUUGGUCUCCAGCUUGCAAAGGACAGAUCGUGAGACUUCUCAGGCUCCAUAGUCACAUGAGCCAAUACCAUUAAAUACAUACCUACAUACAAUACAUAGUAACUCACUAACUCAUUCACUCACUAAUGAAUUCACUAACUCAGGGUUCUCUAGAGAAACAACAAAUAGAAUAUGUCUAUCUCAUACAGUAAUACAGUAGUGCUAACUACUGGCAAGAUGCCUCAGUUCCUCAGCAUGUGGGCAUCUUUGUAGGGUUAGGUGAGUAUCUUUAUGACAUGGUACCUGGAAACUCCCAGAGAAAUUGAUCCAAGAGAAGCUGGAAGGGGCAGUAUUUUUUUUUUUUUUUUUGACUUAUCCUCAGAAGUCACACACUAAGACAUCUGCUAUAUUCUUUUGGUUAUAUGGACUAAUCUUGUGCGACUAAUGUGGAAAGGACUCUAUAAAGGAGGCAAGGAUCAUUGGGUCCGUUUUAGAGACUGGGAACUACAACCAGUCACUAGGAAAUGUAAACCAAACUAUAUAAUUUUACUGGGCUCCAGCCAAACUGAUAAAUAUAAACUACUUUUUUUUAAGUAGGCUCCAUGCCUGAUGUGAGGCUGAAACUCACAACCCUGAGAUCAAAGGUUGUAUGCUCUACCAACUGAGCCAGCCAGGUGCCCCAAAUAUUAAAUACUUUUUAAAUGGGGAUUACAUCAACAGCUUUUUAAUGUAACUUCUGAUUAAUGUGUCUGUUUGAAUAUACAUAUAUACACACAUAUAUCUACACACAUACUUUGUAGAAAUAUAUAUACAUAUAUAUCUCAUACUCCUUUGUGGUAUAUAUUAUACUCUAUAAGAAAUGUUAAGUUGCUUAAUCUAAUAUAUUGGAAAUUAAAAUUUUACAUUUUUCUGUCAAUGUACAUGUUCUGAACGUAAAGCCUGAAAAGAGGAGGAUAAAUUAGUUUUGGGAAAGUCACAUUAUCAGUCGAAUCUUCUUACCGCUGUCCAUAGGGGAUGGUGGAGCUCAAGGAAGUUCUGCUAGAAAUGUAGAAGAAGAAAUAUCCAGGUCCCUGAAUGUCCAGGCAUGAGUUUUCUUGAGGUACAAUCUACUUGCCAUCCUUGUUUUAAUAUAUCUUUCACAAGCCCCUUCUAUUAGAAGUUCAAAACAGUUUACCAAGUCAUCAGUAUUUUUUUUCUUGUUUGAAAAGCCAGGGUAUAAGCAUAUCUCCUUUUUGUGUCUUUAAGUGCUUAUGUAAUUGUCUGUUCAUUUUAGACCACUGGUGAGUGCUAGUGUUCCUUUGCAUUCCAGAAAAACAUCUCUUCCAAACUCUGCCAUAAGGAAAAAGUUCUCUUCAGUUAGAAUUUGCAUAUUUUUAAGCAGAGGCUAUUCUGUUCCAAACAUAUGGCUCAUUAUUUAUGACAUUAUGUACCUAUAUCUAUCUGACCAUAUAUACUGGGCUGAGAGGGUAGUAAUCCCUCAGAAGCAGCAGGGAACUUUCUUAAAUGAAAAAAAAUAUUUGUCAAAAGUCUGCAGAAAAUAUCAUGCUUGAUAGUGGCAGCAAACCGAGGUUGGGGCAGUGGAAGUAGUCUGCCCAAAGUGCAAGCAAUAAGGGGGUGUACAACUUUAGAAAAUUUAAAAACAUGGGGCAGCUGCAUGGGGCAGUUGGUUAGGC
Felis catus (domestic cat) is the source of this 3191-nucleotide long non-coding RNA. RefSeq lists it as uncharacterized. The transcript is spliced from 4 exons. The record is from RefSeq and is a predicted model, not a curated record. Lineage: Eukaryota; Metazoa; Chordata; Mammalia; Carnivora; Felidae.